This 400-nucleotide ribosomal RNA is filed under the name Enterobacter sp. KSrHS6. RNAcentral's name for it is "bacterial SSU rRNA". It matches the Rfam family "Bacterial small subunit ribosomal RNA", at positions 62 to 460 of the family's 1533-position model. The record is from RNAcentral. Lineage: Bacteria; Pseudomonadati; Pseudomonadota; Gammaproteobacteria; Enterobacterales; Enterobacteriaceae.
UCGAACGGUAGCACAGAGAGCUUGCUCUCGGGUGACGAGUGGCGGACGGGUGAGUAAUGUCUGGGAAACUGCCUGAUGGAGGGGGAUAACUACUGGAAACGGUAGCUAAUACCGCAUAACGUCGCAAGACCAAAGAGGGGGACCUUCGGGCCUCUUGCCAUCAGAUGUGCCCAGAUGGGAUUAGCUAGUAGGUGGGGUAACGGCUCACCUAGGCGACGAUCCCUAGCUGGUCUGAGAGGAUGACCAGCCACACUGGAACUGAGACACGGUCCAGACUCCUACGGGAGGCAGCAGUGGGGAAUAUUGCACAAUGGGCGCAAGCCUGAUGCAGCCAUGCCGCGUGUAUGAAGAAGGCCUUCGGGUUGUAAAGUACUUUCAGCGGGGAGGAAGGUGUUGUGGU